RNAcentral lists this ribosomal RNA (250 nucleotides) under uncultured bacterium. Its description in RNAcentral is "partial 16S ribosomal RNA". It matches the Rfam family "Archaeal small subunit ribosomal RNA", at positions 474 to 724 of the family's 1478-position model. The record is from RNAcentral. RNAcentral also lists the same sequence under 1 other name.
UACCAGCACCCCGAGUGGUCGGGACGUUUAUUGGGCCUAAAGCAUCCGUAGCCGGUUCUACAAGUCUUCCGUUAAAUCCACCUGCUUAACAGAUGGGCUGCGGAAGAUACUAUAGAGCUAGGAGGCGGGAGAGGCAAGCGGUACUCGAUGGGUAGGGGUAAAAUCCGUUGAUCCAUUGAAGACCACCAGUGGCGAAGGCGGCUUGCCAGAACGCGCUCGACGGUGAGGGAUGAAAGCUGGGGGAGCAAAC